Molecule: ribosomal RNA, 520 nt
Filed under: Oeneis bore
Lineage: Eukaryota; Metazoa; Arthropoda; Insecta; Lepidoptera; Nymphalidae
Description: partial 16S rRNA
Source: RNAcentral
CUCAGAUCAUGUAAGAUUUUAAUGAUCGAACAGAUCAAAAUUUUAAACUUUUGCACUUAAAUUUUAUCUUAAUCCAACAUCGAGGUCGCAAACUUUUUUUUUUAUUUGAACUAAAAAAAAAUAUUACGCUGUUAUCCCUAAGGUAAUUUUUUCUUAUAAUCAUUAUUAAUGGAUCAUUUAAUCAUUUAUUUAUGUUUAAUUUUUAAAAAAAGUUAAUUUAAUUUUUCUAUCACCCCAAUAUAAUAAUUAAUUUUAUUUUAAUAAAAAUUUUUAUAUAAUUUUAAAAUAAAAAUAAAUAUAAAACUCUAUAGGGUCUUCUCGUCUUUUAAAAUUAUUUUAGCUUUUUAACUAAAAAAUAAAUUUCUAAAAAUAAAUAAGAGACAGUUUAUAUUUCAUCAAAUCUUUCAUACAAGUUUUCAAUUAAAAAACUAUUGAUUAUGCUACCUUUGUACAGUCAUUAUACUGCAGCCCUUUAAUAUUUAUCAGUGGGCAGAUUAGACUUUAAAUUAUACUCAAAAAG